This 49-nucleotide transfer RNA is filed under the name Schistocephalus solidus. The record is from Rfam by way of RNAcentral. Lineage: Eukaryota; Metazoa; Platyhelminthes; Cestoda; Diphyllobothriidea; Diphyllobothriidae.
GGCCUCGUAGCUCGGUUGGCUGGCGUGGGUUCGAAUCCCACCGAGGCCG